RNAcentral lists this long non-coding RNA (359 nucleotides) under Homo sapiens (human). Its description in RNAcentral is "HSALNT0377912". The record is from RNAcentral. Lineage: Eukaryota; Metazoa; Chordata; Mammalia; Primates; Hominidae.
AUUCUAAGUCUGACUUCCCUAAUGCUCAGAAGAUGGCUAUGUUGAGUCCACAAACUUUUGAAUUCAGAAACAAGAUUGAGUUGAUUUCAGAAGCUCUCCCAGAAGAUCAAGAAAGAACUUUCCAGGAUCUCCAGGAACCUGAAUUGAGUCAUACGCCAAAGAAAGUAGCUUAGAAGUGACCAAUAUGUCAAGGUCCCAUGAGAAGACUGAAAAAAAGAGAAGAAAGAGGAAAGAAAAGAAUGACAAGAAAGAGAAAGAAAGAAACCAAUAUGCUCUUUGUUCUUUGCUUUUGCUUCCUCAAGCUUUUCUCUGUCUACAAAGCCAACCUCUCCUGCUCAGCUCAUCAGAACAUUCACUCC